Long non-coding RNA from Gallus gallus (chicken), 707 nucleotides. The record is from Ensembl. NCBI's taxonomy places the organism in Eukaryota, Metazoa, Chordata, Aves, Galliformes, Phasianidae.
UGGAAUGGAGGGUAUCUUGCUGGAGAUCCCUACAUACCUCAGGCCUUUGGAAUGCUGCAAGAGCACACUGCUGACUCAUGUCCAGCUUUCUGACCAUCAGGACCCCAAAGAUCUGAAUUCCAAAGAUCUGAUUUGGUCUUUCAUUAUUUUUAAAUGGACAUCAAAGCACCUGUGAUCAGCUGGAGGAUCACAGAGUCAUAGAACAUCCUGUGUUGGAAGGGACCCACAGAGAUCAAGUUCAACUCCUGGUUCCAUACAGGAUCACUAUUCAAACCUGUUGUCCAAACACUCUUUCAACUCCAGCAGCUUGGUGCCAUGAUCACUGCCUUGGGAGCCUGUUCCAUGCUCACUGUCCUCUUGAGAAGAAUCUUUUCCGAACACAUAACUUGAUCCUGCUCUGACACAACUAUACACUGUUCCAUCCAGGCCUGUCACCGUCACCAAAAAGCAGAGCUUAGUGCUGCCCCUCCACUCCCUUGUGAGGAGCUGUGGGCCACCAUGAGACCUCCCAUAAGCCUCCUUCUGCUCUGGGCUGGGCAAACCCAGGGACCUCAGCAGCUCUUCAUCCAUCUUGCCCUCUAGACCCUUUGCCGCCUUUGAAGCCCUCUUUUGGACACUCUCUAAUAGUUUUAUGUUCUUUCUGUAUUCUGGCACCCAAAACCCACACACAGUGCUUGAGACAAGGCUGCACCUGUUGGGAAAUCAGC